RNAcentral lists this RNase P RNA (331 nucleotides) under Galaxaura rugosa. RNAcentral's name for it is "Ribonuclease P RNA". It matches the Rfam family "Bacterial RNase P class A", at positions 43 to 352 of the family's 367-position model. From Rfam's summary of the family: Ribonuclease P (RNase P) is a ubiquitous endoribonuclease, found in archaea, bacteria and eukarya as well as chloroplasts and mitochondria. Its best characterised activity is the generation of mature 5'-ends of tRNAs by cleaving the 5'-leader elements of precursor-tRNAs. Cellular RNase Ps are ribonucleoproteins. Lineage: Eukaryota; Rhodophyta; Florideophyceae; Nemaliales; Galaxauraceae. The record is from RNAcentral.
GAGGAAAGUCCGGAAUCCAUAUAGUCAAUGGGUGCUGUAUAAAUUUCAGUGUAAGUAAUUAUGAGGAAAGUGCCACAGAAAUAAACCGCUUUAAUAAAGUAAGGGUGCAAAGGUGUAUUAAAAGAACACCAGAAGUAUUGUUGAGAUACUUGCUAGGUAAACCCCGUCUAGGAGCAAAGCUAAACUUGAGAAUAUUCGACUAUAGAUUUCUCAUUUUAUAAAUCUUUACCGCAGUAAGUAAUAUAUUAAUAUUUUAUUUUUACUACUACAGAUAAAUAACUACCCUUUCUAUAUCAUUUAGACGAUAUAAAAAGAACAGAAUCCGGCUUAU